AGAAUCAACGCUGGCGGCGUGCCUAACACAUGCAAGUCGAACGAGAAAGUGGAGCAAUCCAUGAGUAAAGUGGCGCACGGGUGAGUAACACGUGACUAACCUACCCUUGAGUGGGGGAUAACCUAGGGAAACCUGGGCUAAUACCGCAUAAUACCUUCGGGUCAAAGGAGCAAUUCGCUUAAGGAGGGGGUCGCGGCCGAUUAGUUAGUUGGGGGGGUAACGGCCCACCAAGGCGACGACGGGUAGCCGGCCUGAGAGGGCGACCGGCCACACUGGGACUGAGACACGGCCCAGACUCCUACGGGAGGCAGCAGUGGGGAAUAUUGCACAAUGGGCGAAAGCCUGAUGCAGCGACGCCGCGUGCGGGAUGAAGGCCUUCGGGUUGUAACCGCUUUCACCAGGACGAAGCGAGAGUGACGGUACCGUGGGAAGAAGCGCCGGCUAACUACGUGCCAGCAGCCGC
RNAcentral lists this ribosomal RNA (463 nucleotides) under uncultured bacterium. Its description in RNAcentral is "SSU rRNA". It matches the Rfam family "Bacterial small subunit ribosomal RNA", at positions 26 to 518 of the family's 1533-position model. The record is from RNAcentral.